RNAcentral lists this long non-coding RNA (5186 nucleotides) under Homo sapiens (human). RNAcentral's name for it is "long non-coding RNA NONHSAT163234.1". Lineage: Eukaryota; Metazoa; Chordata; Mammalia; Primates; Hominidae. The record is from RNAcentral.
CUCCCUGCAUCCCCGCCAGUGCACAAGCAGUCUUGCUGAGGUGCCUUUCAUAAGGCCAUUCAGGGAUCCAAGAUCAUUUCUUCCUUCCUCUAGAUUCCUCCAUUGAUCUGUUAGAGGAGAAAGAGCCGAGAAGACACACCUGCUUCUGUGCUGGAAGUUACGCUCACCACUUCCACUUUUAUUCCACCAGCAAGAAGUGGUCCCAUUAUCCCUUGCAGAUGCAGGGAGACUGGCUGGGCAGCCCCUUCCAGCACUGACUGCACCCUCCAUAAAGGGGGCAGGGCCUCUGACGAUCAGCAAGAGGUCUCUGCCACAAGGUCUGAUGAUGGGUUGAGGAGGCUCUGAGCUGGGCCUUGGAGGGAAGGAAGGACCUCAUGAGGAAGAGAGGGAGGGACUCUAGGUGGGUGGUGGUGGGCACAGUAUGUGUUAAGGUAAAGAGCUGAUUCAGGCCUGGCUCAGUGGCUCACGCAUGUAAUCCCAGCACUUUGAGAGGCUGAGGCGGGUAGAUCACCUGAAGUCAGGAGUUCAAGACCAGCCUGGCCAACGUGGCGAAACCCUGUCUCUACUAAAAAUACAAAAAUUAGCCAGAUGUCAUGGCAGGCGCCUGUAAUUCCAGCUACUUGGGAGGCUGAGGCACAAGAAUUGCUUGAACCUGGGAGGCGGAGGUUUCGGUAAGUCGAGAUCGCGCCACUGCACUCCAGCCUGGGUUACAGGGCGAGACUCUAUCUCGAAAAAAAAAAAGCUGAUUCAAAGGAGAUCCAGUUGGGGUAGGGUCUGCAUUUGGUGUGAAGAGGUCUAUAAAUUUGGGUAGAAAGAGAAGACCCAAAUAUAGGGGCCCUGUGUGUCUGAGUCAAUCUACCCUUGUCACGUGUUCCCUGGAGUUAACUUGGAACCGUUGUGCAAGACGGGCUCUAUCUGGGUCCCCACCUGUAAAGCAUCAGGGAUGAGGAUGAAUCCCACGAUGUCCAAUGGCAUGGGUAAAAGAAGACCUUUUAUUUAUUUCCGAGGAGGUGGAGUAAGAGAAGGGAAAAUUUACAGGUCCAGCAAGGCUCGGCAAGACAGAGUUGUCAUGUUCCAGAGAAGGGACCCUGGCAUUUAUUUGCAGGGCAAAUAAUGAAAGUAGCCUUAUUAAGGGAAGGACCCACAGACUGCUUGGGGCCAGGCAGUCUGGAUUUAAGUGCUAACUGGUGACAGCUGCCGGAACAAGCCCAGGCCCCGGAGACUCCUGGACCAGGGAAUGCUGCAAUUCCCUGUUAAGCUACUAGUUGUGGGAAGCUGAGCUUGGGGUGGCUCCUCCCACUCAGAGAAGGGGAAUCCUGGAUCCCAAUGAGCUCUCCGUGCAUGCAACCCAGCUCAGAGUCACUUUCGGACAACCCUGCUCCUGGCACAACUGGAACCCGAGGAUUUUGUAAUCUUUUGGUGAGGUGGAGUUCAACACUCUUACAUUUCAGUCAAUAGGAUUCCAUAGGAAAAAUGCCGUGUAUUUUGUGUUUCCUAUGUGCCAAGCAUGUUGUAUUUGCAUCUGGUAGGUGGAACAAGCAGGGUUUGUGGGUUGCGAUCUUAAAGCACCUUUCUUCUGUCUCACGUUUUUCCUAAAUUGUGGUCAGUAGGGGUAGUUGUUCCCUGGCUCAAGAUAGAUAUGUGACCAGUCUCAGACUUUCUUGAUCCCUUUUAGGGUGAAGUCCCAUAGUGACUUCAAGCUGCAAAACACAGUCUUAAUUCUAGAAUGAUGAUGCUCAAUUGUAGGUAACUGUCAAAGAUUCCGAUUAUAUUCAAGUUAUGACAGCUUUCCCUCUGCUGGGAGAAGCCAGGCUGUGGGGAAGAGGAGGUGGCCAGCUUUUCCUUUCUUGCUUGCUCACCUCAGGAAAGUUUUAAGAGUCGCCUCUCCACAGCCCCCAGAGUCACCAGCAACAGCUGGGACAUGCCCCCUCCUCAAGGUCUGAGCCCCAACUCUGCAGAGCCCCUCCUCUGGGCUUCUAGAAUCUGAUAAUCCCAUCUCUUCCUUCUGUUCCGCAGCCCUAGGGCUGCCAGCUGUUUUCCCUGGCUAUGAUUUCUGCAUUACUUCUUUGUUCUCUUAGUGGUUUUUCAAUACUUGCUUAACCAGUUUCCUAUAUUAAAUUCUCUCUGAUGAAUUACCUGUUUUGGAUUCUGUUUUCUUGGCUAGACUGUGUUUAUACAUUGGUUAUUCAACAAUUUCCAACCUACUACAAUUGUAAGGAGAUAUAAAUUAUACUAGAUAUAAUAGCUAACUCUUAUUAUAGAGAAAAUGAUGAAACAUUUGCUUGUGUCAGCCAGGGCCGAAAACAUACUCCUCUCCUUGGGAGAGAGAGAUUUGAAAUAACUGAAGUGCUAUUACCCUCCUCCUCUGUAUUUGCUUUAAACCCAGAGAGUGGUCAAGAUGUCAUUCGUGACCAAACGCCUAUUACACCUUCCAACACUUUGGUAUCUGCAGGAGGAUCUGGGAACAUGGGAGGUGAUGGGGGACUCCGUGCUGGUCCAGAAGGAAAUGAAGGGCAGCCUGAUAUAAAAUGGUGGUGGCCACUGAAUUUGGGUCUAGGUUUUUCUAGGUCUGGCUGGGGCAGGGUGCAUGGCAGAAGAGUUAGAAGUUCCCCUGAGUCUCUUUCAACAUCAGGGGAUUGUGAUGGAGAGGUAUCCAUGCCAGUGAGGGCUCCCGGAGAAGCUAGAGAUAAAGUGUUGCUGAUUCCAGCACUGAUGGGGACUUGAACUCCUAUGUGCUUUCCAUCUCCAAGAGCUUAGAGAAAUGUGGAUCUCCAAGCAAAUACUCAGGAAACCAGCUCUCUUGUUUCCAAGAGAUUCAGGGGAUUCCUAACUUUAAUUUGCUGAAUACUGUCUUUGCAUUUCAUCUUCAUUCUCCUGCUCAUUUUCUUCAUCACUGAUAACUCUUUUAAGAAAAGAUUAAGAAAAGUGGAUCAGGGUCGAGUGCAGUGGCUUAUAUCUAUAAUACCAGCACUUUGGGCUGAGGUGGGUGGAUCACUUGAGGUCAGGAGUUCGAGACAAGCCUGGUCAACAUGGCAAAACCGUGUCUCUACUAAAAAUACAAAAAAUUAGCCGGGCGUAGUGGCGCAUGACUGUAAUCCCAGCUACUCAGGAGACUGAGGCAGGAGAAUUGCUUGAACCCGGGAGGCAGAGGUUGUGGUGAGCCAAGAUUGUGCCACUGCACUCCAGGGUGACAGAGUGAGACUCCAUCUCAAAAAAAUAAAUAAAUAAAUAAAAAUUUAAAAAAAUGUUGGGAUUACAGGUGUGAGCCGCUGUGCCCGGCUCUAAUGCUUCUUAACCUUAACUGACUUUCUUUUAUGUGCUCCACAUUUUUGGUCAGAAGCUUCGGAAAUGUCAUCAGUUUUAGUGCAGUCUUAAACAAAGCUGUGACUUUACCAUAAACCUUAAUCAAAGUUGUAUCAUCUCAUGUCAGCAUCGUGACUCUGGCCCGCAUCCCACUGAGCAACCCCAACUCCUCAUGGGAGUUCAUGGAAGCCACGGCCACCCAGCAUUGCCACAGCAAGAAGGCUCAGGAGGUGCAUAACUGAUCUGCAGAUGAACCCAGCACCUACUCAGGUAUAUGAUCUCUACUGUCUCUCUUUUUUUUUUUUUUUUUUUUUUUCUGGGACAGAGUCUCACUCUGUUGCCCAGGCUGGAGUGUAGUGGUAUAAUCUCAGCUCACCACAACUUCCACCUCCUGGGUUCAAGUGAUUCUCCUGCCUCAGCCUCCCAAGUAGCUGGGACUACAGGCACCCACCAUCAUGCCCAGAUAAUUUUGUGUAUUUUUAGUAGAGACAGGGUUUCACCAUAUUAGCCAGGAUGGUCUCGAUCUCCUGACCUCGUGAUCCACCUGCCUUGGCCUCCCAAAGUGCUGGGAUUACAGGCGUGAGCCACCACGCCUGGCUCUGGCCUGAUAUGUUUUAUUAGCUCCAAUUUAUAUGAGGAAACUGAGGCCGAAGACACGCUAGUCGAGUGUCUGAGACAUAAGUUGUACAUAGGUCUAUUUCCCAUGUCUCUGUGCUUUCUACUGUAACCAUGCUCUUCUCCAGGCUGGCUGGAGCUUUGUGGUCCCGGCAUCAGUGACCCUUUUCUUUGGCCCUGUUUCUCCAUAUGUUAAGAAUAGAGAAUGAUCCCCAUGCCUCCCCAGCUCCCAGUGUGGUACAGAGGAUCAGUUGUUCAGCCCAAACUAUGCUGAGGUCUAUGAGCACCGCUGCCUGUCCUUGCCGGGUGUGUUAGCCUCACUGGGUCACACACUGCCUUGCUUGGCCAGGUCAGCUCUGGGUCCUCGACUCCUUGCAGAGUAGUGGAGAUUCUAUACUGGAAUAAGAGCUGAUCCUCACCAGGCAUGGUGGCUCACGCCUGUAAUCCUAGCACUUUGGGAGGCCGAGGCGGGUGGAUUGCCUGAGCUCGGGAGCUUGAGACCAGCCUGGGGAACACGGUGAAAACCUGUCUCUACUAAAAAUACAAAAAAUUAGACGGGUGUGGUGGCAUGCGUCUGUAAUCUCAGCUGCUCAGGAGGCUGAGGCAGGAGAAUGGCUUGAACCUAGGAGGCAGAGGUUGCAGUGAGCUGAGAUCAUGCUACUGCACUCCAGCCUGGGCGACAGAGCAAGACUCCGUCUGAAAAAAAAAAAAAAAAAAAAAAAGCUGAUCCUGCCUGCAUUUCCACAGUGGAAGCAGAUGGUUUGGGGAAAUCUAAUUUAAAAGGAAAGAAAUCAAAUUAGCUCUCCAGGGGUCUGAUGGCCAAGACUUGAGUGAAGACAAUUACAUUAGAUGCUGAGGCCUCACCAAAGCGGCCUAAAGACUGAAGGUGGGUAGGGUGGAAGCCACCCCGGGGUCCCUUAUCCCUGGGUGGGUUCAAAUCAUGGCUGAAGGGGACAGGAGAGAGCUCAGAUUGGUGGAAUAAAGUCCUUAGACUCUAAUGAUGCCUGGCUUGGGAAUGGUGAACCUGUAGCUGACUCUGCCACUUGACUUUCUAUGGCUCACAGACCCUCUUGGUAACCUCUCUUUCUCAAAAAGCCCCACACACAGUCUUACCUCUUUUGGAGUGUGGUCAAUUUAAGGAGAAUGAUUAAGAAAAACAGCUCUCAUCAGGUGCUGUUUGACAAGAAUGUCAGGGCUAUUUACUCUGAGACACCAAAGCCCCUUGGGGUAUCAAAACUACCAUGUGGGGCUGGCGCAGUGGCUCACGC